GACGAACGCUGGCGGCGUGCCUAAUACAUGCAAGUAGAACGCUGAAGAGAGGAGCUUGCUCUUCUUGGAUGAGUUGCGAACGGGUGAGUAACGCGUAGGUAACCUGCCUUGUAGCGGGGGAUAACUAUUGGAAACGAUAGCUAAUACCGCAUAACAAUGGAUGACACAUGUCAUUUAUUUGAAAGGGGCAAUUGCUCCACUACAAGAUGGACCUGCGUUGUAUUAGCUAGUAGGUGAGGUAAUGGCUCACCUAGGCGACGAUACAUAGCCGACCUGAGAGGGUGAUCGGCCACACUGGGACGGAGACACGGCCCAGACUCCUACGGGAGGCAGCAGUAGGGAAUCUUCGGCAAGGGGGGCAACCCUGACCGAGCAACGCCGAGGGAGUGAAGAAGGUUUUCGGAUCGGAAAGCUCUGUUGUAAGUCAAGAACGGGUGUGAGAGUGGAAAGUUCACACUGUGACGGUAGCUUACCAGAAAGGGACGGCUAACUACGUG
This 497-nucleotide ribosomal RNA is filed under the name uncultured bacterium. Its description in RNAcentral is "partial 16S ribosomal RNA". It matches the Rfam family "Bacterial small subunit ribosomal RNA", at positions 28 to 507 of the family's 1533-position model. The record is from RNAcentral.